CCUACGGGAGGCAGCAGUGAGGAAUAUUGGUCAAUGGACGAGAGUCUGAACCAGCCAAGUAGCGUGAAGGAUGACUGCCCUAUGGGUUGUAAACUUCUUUUAUCAAGGAAUAAAACGAGGCACGUGUGCCUUUUUGCAUGUACUUUAUGAAUAAGGAUCGGCUAACUCCGUGCCAGCAGCCGCGGUAAUACGGAGGAUCCGAGCGUUAUCCGGAUUUAUUGGGUUUAAAGGGAGCGUAGGUGGGUUGUUAAGUCAGUUGUGAAAGUUUGGGGCUCAACCGGAAAACUGCAGUUGAUACUGGCAGUCUUGAGUAGAGUUGAGGUAGGCGGAAUUCGUGGUGUAGCGGUGAAAUGCAUAGAGAUCACGAAGAACCCCGAUUGCGAAGGCAGCUUACUAGACUGUGACUGACAUUGAUGCUCGAAAGUGUGGGUAUCAAACAGGAUUAGAUACCCCGGUAGUC
RNAcentral lists this ribosomal RNA (460 nucleotides) under uncultured bacterium. RNAcentral's name for it is "partial 16S ribosomal RNA". It matches the Rfam family "Bacterial small subunit ribosomal RNA", at positions 338 to 795 of the family's 1533-position model. The record is from RNAcentral.